GGAUCAAGGCAGUGGAUUGUGAAUCCACCAUGCGCGGGUUCAAUUCCCGUCGUUCGNCCAUAACAUAGCAUUGU
This 74-nucleotide transfer RNA is filed under the name Brachystegia angustistipulata. RNAcentral describes it as "tRNA-His". The stretch from base 1 to 58 matches the Rfam family "tRNA", at positions 15 to 71 of the family's 71-position model. Rfam says of the family: Transfer RNA (tRNA) molecules are approximately 80 nucleotides in length. Their secondary structure includes four short double-helical elements and three loops (D, anti-codon, and T loops). Lineage: Eukaryota; Viridiplantae; Streptophyta; Magnoliopsida; Fabales; Fabaceae. The record is from RNAcentral.